CCUACGGGAGGCUGCAGUGAGGAAUAUUGGUCAAUGGCCGGGAGGCUGAACCAGCCAAGUCGCGUGAGGGAAGACGGCCCUACGGGUUGUAAACCUCUUUUGUCAGGGAGCAAGGUGCAGGUCGGGACCUGCUGUGAGAGUACCUGAAGAAAAAGCAUCGGCUAACUCCGUGCCAGCAGCCGCGGUAAUACGGAGGAUGCGAGCGUUAUCCGGAUUUAUUGGGUUUAAAGGGUGCGCAGGCGGAGGCACAAGUCAGCGGUAAAAUCGCGGGGCUCAACCCCGCCCCGCCGUUGAAACUGUGGUCGUUGAGUGGGCGAAGGGUAGGCGGAAUGCGUGGGGUAGCGGUGAAAUGCAUAGAUAUCACGCAGAACGCCGAUUGCGAAGGCAGCAUACCGGCGCCCAACUGACGCUCAUGCACGAAAGCGUGGGUAUCGAACAGGAUUAGAUACCCCGGUAGUC
RNAcentral lists this ribosomal RNA (459 nucleotides) under uncultured bacterium. Its description in RNAcentral is "partial 16S ribosomal RNA". It matches the Rfam family "Bacterial small subunit ribosomal RNA", at positions 338 to 795 of the family's 1533-position model. The record is from RNAcentral.